Long non-coding RNA from Pseudophryne corroboree (corroboree frog), 3148 nucleotides. RefSeq lists it as uncharacterized. The record is from RefSeq and is a predicted model, not a curated record. The transcript is spliced from 5 exons. NCBI's taxonomy places the organism in Eukaryota, Metazoa, Chordata, Amphibia, Anura, Myobatrachidae.
GACCCCGUGACAGGUGCGGCUAAGUGUCAGUACAAGCCCUACACCUCACAGCCAAUCCACAGUCUUCCCAUCCCUCCUUCUUGUGACGCCACGUGGAGGAGGAGCCUGCAGCCUGGGGAGAACGCGUCCUGUUACCAUGGUAAUUAGAGCUAGCCGUGCUCUGUUCAAAGCUUUGCAUCGUACAUACAAUCUCUUCCAUACAGCCUAUACAAGACUCCUGGACUUGCUCCAAUGUUCUCCAGAGCAGGGACUUGGAUUGCGGAAUGAUACGAACCUAGAAUAUAAAAUCAUGGCUUACUGUGAUACAGAGACACAACUAUGACUUGUUAAGAGCUAACUAUGCACCCUUCAUGGGAUUGCCACACUCACUCUAAAAUGAAGAAUUUGGAAAUACCGGUGAAUGAAGCUAUGGAGUAAAUAUCUAUGUCUAAAAGCACAACUGCACAAAAAUACUCAAAUUGACAAAGUACGCAUUAUUGCUAAACAGGAUAGAUAAAGGCUUAUUGACAAGAACAGGAAUAAGGAGGAUUAAGUGAAAAUCUUGAAUGUAUCACACCAAAAAAGAAGUUUUGACACUUUGUCUCAAGCAGAGAAUAUUGAUUAGUAGGAAUACAACAGAGAGGAGAAAAAAAUAUUUUUUCUACAGUGAGUCGCACACAAAGAAGCUCUUCUUUGAUCUGUUUGUGCAGUCAAUGGAACUCAGGUGGAAUGCACAGGAUCCCAGAAGUAAGUAGCUGUAUAUGGAGAAAAUGCAGCAGCCGGCACUCACACAAAUUCCAGCGUGCUCUGGUGCAAAGAACAAGUGUAUUAUUUCAUAUUCCAUAAUCGUCAACGUUUUGGAGCGCGUAGCCCCGUCAUCAGGACUUAGCAACAAACAGGUACAGGCAGAGAGACAGUACUUACCCACCUAAAUUCCCCCAAACAUUUAAGUCGCCAUUCUCCACUGCUCCUGCAGCGUUGUGCACUCCGGGCCAGCUUCCGUCCCCGAACUUCCGGUCCAAGAGCAGGCUGUUGUCAAGGGAACCGCUGGUUUGCAUUCCACUUGGCAGCGUCUUGCGUUCCAGGGUGGCUGGAAGACAGAGCAUCACCACAGAGGCAGAGAGGCUGCAGAGGAAGAGACAACAGCACAAAUACAUAAAAAAAAUAUAUACACAAAAAUGUACAUAAAUACACAACCACAAAUAUAAACACAGAUACAGCAUAUCAAAAAAUCAUCUCAGGGAAAAAUCUAUACAGGUCACUUAUAAAACGGUACACUGUGAAAACAAACCGUCAAAGACUAAUUAUCAAGGCAAAAAGAAAAGGAAAAAACAUAGUCCCGUAUUAACACCAGAUCUAAAAUAGAAGCAUUUGAGCAAGAUCACCUAAAAACGCUAUCUGAGGACCCUGCUGGUGAUUGGCGGCAAAAGCUGGAAACCCAAUGUUUACAAUGCAAGCGAGAUCUGCUGAAAUUUAAAAAGAGCAAAAAAUGCACCGUGGACACUGAUUACGAAGAUAACCAAGUGUACAGAUGGCUUUCGGGUGGAGAGUCUAACACCAGAAGGCAAUAUCAAUGUCCUAGGAGACCUUGGCAUAAGAAAUCUGCCACUUCUGCUCAAAAUGCUCAUAGAUCCAGCUCUGAUAGUGAAUUUGCAAUGUCUGAGAUAGACGAGGACACAAAUGGUCCAUCUGUCCCUUUAGAGGACACUUCUUAAGAGACCGCUAAUCUGGUAAAAUCUUUGCCACCCGUCGGGGUGGCUAGAACCAAAGGGGUAAGUGCUGUCACCCAGAAGAAAAAUCGUUGAUUUUCAAUCUUUCUCAACGUCAUCUAAAGGCAGAUGAAAUUGCAGUCCUCAAUAAAGGCCUCAGCUUCGUCCCUACUAACCUGCAUGACCAGUUUAUUUGGAUGAGAGAUCUACAUUUGUUCUCUAUGAAAUUACGCCUUAAGAAAAGUUUUCCAAAAUGUACCUACAAAUUUGGAGUCUUCAAUUUUUACCAACUUUCUCAAUAAAUCAUCGAAAUCUAUGUUUGACCAUAUCUCCUCCAGUGCAUCAUUAAAAUCUUUUCAUAGAUUGCUUGAUGACUCUGUCACUAAAUUUACAGCAGCUUCGUCAAAGGUUAAAUUUAAUCCAUCCAAAGAUGAAAUUCUCGCACUUAAAGCUAUGGAAUCAUAUGAUGAUAUUAUUAUCAGUCCCGCCGAUAAAGUCGGGGCCAUAGUGAUUUUGGAUCUUCAGUUUUAUAGAGAUUAAAUUUAUGACCAACUAUCUGAUAAGGAAGUUUAUGUGAAAUUACCUUCUGAUCCUACUACCUUAUUUCAAAAGGAACUUAAGGAAAUCCUGGAAUCUGCUAAAUUAUCAAACAAAUUACCUGAAAAAAAUCGUGAAAGCACUGUAUAUAAAGUAUCCUAAAGUACCGGUAUUAUACACACUCCACAAAUUGCAUAAGCAUCCUUCUUAUUGGCUGUCCAAUUAUUUCGGCUCCUGACUCCAUCUACAGACUGGUGGCUCAAUUGAUGUACUCAAUUCUCCAACCGCUCUUGCGGCAUCAAGAGACUUUUCUCAAGGAUACCACCACUUUCCUCCAGAGGAUUCAAGCUUUGACCGACCUGCCUUCUUGAACUCUGCUUUGCUGUCUUGACGUGUGUAGCCUCUACACAGUAAUUCCUCAUGAUGGGGGCAUGCAAGCUAUGAAAGGGUUUUUGGAAUCUGAACUUUCCUUUGAUAAGAAUGAAGAAAAUGAAAGUCCAGCCUCUGCUAUUCUGGAGGGGAUAAAUCUACAUCUAGCAGGAGCCACACUAACUUGCUUUUUAAUCUAUUCACCUAAAUAUUUAACAUCUUUAAAAACUGACACACACUAUUCAAUAAUAGUAAUCCGAAGAGGCUGGACUUUCCCUUUUCUUCAUUCUUAGCUAAUUUUUGAAAACCUCCUCAUCAUUAGAGGUCUUGCUGCACCACCAUGGCUUGGUGGCAUCCAAAAAUAACAUUCUCUUCAAACCAAUUUUACCCUGAUGAAGUCCUUUUAAGGACGAAAUGCAUUGGUUACAGAGUGUUUCUUCUUCACAAAAGAUGGCAAUCCUCCAAAUAUGAUAUAUCAUUUAUGGGUUUGAUUGCCUUAUAUUUUAUAUGAAGUUGUAUGUUUAAGUGUACAAUAAAAAAUCUCUUAUCCUUAA